Mytilus californianus (California mussel) is the source of this 2732-nucleotide long non-coding RNA. RefSeq lists it as uncharacterized. The transcript has 4 exons. The record is from RefSeq and is a predicted model, not a curated record. NCBI's taxonomy places the organism in Eukaryota, Metazoa, Mollusca, Bivalvia, Mytilida, Mytilidae.
AUUGUUUGUCUCCAUAUUCUUAAAGAAUACUACUACAUGUUUUUUAAUCUGCAUUAAAUUCUCGAAACAUGUGAAGUACAGCACGAAUGAUUUAUUGUUUUGAUGAUGUUUUAAUUAAAUGGAAUAAAUAUCUAUGAAAGCAGUCAACCAUAUUUAUAGGACGUAGAAAGCUAUUUGAAAGAACAAAUCCGUUUGCAUUCAGUUGUGAAUUGUCAUAACUAACUUACCUGUACUUAGAAUUAUUAUUAAAGUUAAUCUUGCAAAUAUUUUAUAACAUUGCAUUUUGUUUUCACAUCUUAUAAUUUAUUAUAGUCCUACAUGUGUUUAUAUUGUUUAUUUCGAUUUUGCUAGUUGCUUCCUAAUUUUUCAUAUUCAGCUUUUUACUUAGUAUAUACAUAUCUUGUUAUUCUGAUUAACUAAAUGUACAUAUAUUGAUAUUGAUAUUUUUUGUUGUUUAAUAUUAUUUUUAUUUCUUUACUUCACUUCAUCUAUUCACUGUUUUUGAUAAUUUCGUGGAAUAAGGUGAUGAAUCUGUUAUAAUGGUUAACGUAACAACUUUUGACAACAAUUUUGAUAAUUAAGUAUCUUUAAUGUUUAUGACUAAAAUUGCAUUUAAUAAAAUUGAGCGACACAAACAAGAGGUAAGUAAUUUUACCUUAAGUUCUUAAUUCUAAUCAAAUCAAUAUACUACUUUGCCCUAUAAGUAUCUAAAUACAAUAAUGUCAACUGAUACAACUUUUCACUGUUUAUUUUUUAUUGAAAAGAAUUGCGUUUUUAAUCAUGUUGAUCUCAAUCAAAUAAAUAUACUACUUUGCCCUCUUAGUAUAAAAAAACAUGUGGUAUCAUUGUCAACUGAGACAACUCUUCUUUUUUUAUUUGAAUAGCAUUAUCAAGAUUAUGUUGAUAAAAUCAGUUUAAUUCACCAAAUCUCGUGGUUCGAAAAAAUGAUUUGUUUCCCUAUUUUAUACAAAUGUACUUUUUCUAAGUCGUUUAACACGCGAAAAUAUAAAAAUAAAAAACAAUCUCUGAGAGCUUUAUCAACACUUUUCUUUUUUGCAUUUUAAUUCAUCUCAUCUGAGUGUGGUGCAGCACCGUCAGUACCGGAUUGACGUCAGGGUGAGAUGUAUAGAUCAUACAAUCAGCAACAUAACAUUGGUAUAGAUCAUAGAUGUAUCAACUUAACAAGGAUUGAACUAAAGUGCAGCAAUGUUAUUCUAACGUCAAACAAAACUGAAAUUUUACAUAGAAAGGUACAAAUGGCCGUUUACUAUACCUUUAAAAUUAUUGUGUGGAUGCAAAAAUCAAUUAUUGAAGCUUUGUCAGUAUUUAGCUCAACUUUGCAUGGUCAAACUGAAUUGAUAAAACGCUGCAAAAGCUGUUUAAAAAUCCAUUAAAGUUUACUAUGUCAACGGAAGAUAAAAAUUUUCAAAAGAUGACAAUGAUUUAAUUGAUAUCAGGAAAAAGAUAAAUUUAAGAACAAAACUUGAAAACAAACCGAAAGUUCUAAAACUCAUUAAAGGAUUAGACGUUCGCAUAUUUCGAUUGAAAUCACGAAUGAACAAGGGAUGCAUGAAUUAUACAAUCAACUAUUGUAUGGAUAAUAUUCGCAUGCUCUUUCAGUAGACAAGGAUUUCAAUGUUACGAAUUUUGCAACAAAAUAAAACAUAUGUGAUACACCAGGACAUUUCCUGAAUGUUUAUGAAAUUUAAACAUCGGUCAACUACUGCAGCUAUAAUUCAUCAUCAAACGGUUAACAGUUUUACAGGUGGAUAUUACUUUUUCCCGAAGAUUUCCAGCCGGGUAGCUUAACUGCAUGCGAAAUAUCAAAAGAUGAAUCUAUGCGCUGGAUGACAAGUCGUCAUGGAUAAAAUGGUGUCAGUGGGGGUGUUGUCAAAAACACAACAACGCCGAAAGAAAUAGGUUUACUGUAGGUUCAUUUUAAAAGAUUUCAUGAGGACAAUGUCUUUUUCAUUCUGUGAAUUCCUCAUUGUACUGCACACAUUUAUACUGGUGUAUGCAUAGUCGGCAAUAUGAUGUGCAUCUUACAGAUACAUAAGAUCCAGACAAUUUUUAGUCAUUAAAUCUGUACAAUUUUUUUCGUGAAUUUAAAAUGUGUAUUUUGGCGUGUUCUGGGUAAGAAGUCCCCCCUCCCAUUUGAUGUAUAUUUUGGUUGAAUAAAACUGGCUAGUUUUGGUCAGGGUUUGCAUUGAAAAUUUAAGCAGAAACUUGGAAUAGUUAUGUAUUGAGACGCAGUUUAUUUAGAAAGCGGUUCGCGGGUUAAUUUAGUUAAAUUAUAAGCUGAGUUUUAGAAUAGUUCUUUGAACUGAAUAAACGUUGUCAGUUUGCGAAUAUCGAAAUUCGAUUUACUGUUCAGUUUGUCAGUCGUUUAAGUUAAAGUUAUUUAUAGAUUGCUUGAAAACGAUUAAAGUUCGGGGUCAUUAUUUGCUGACAUUUUCGUACGUGUCUCAAAUCUAUGACUUAAACUUAAAGACAGACAUUUAAAGUAUUAAAACGUUAAGGGUUUUUUAAAUGCAAACCCUAGCCAGAAUGACAUAGUGAUAUUUUUUAGAAAAAAAUUACAGUUGUAAAAACAUUUAACAUUUUGGUCUUAGAAAUAUAGAGACUGUUGAAUCAGAGACCAUUCAAUAACAGAAUCAUACAUGUGCUUGAGACGCAGCUGAAUCCUAUUGUCUUUUAACAACUGUGUGUUGUUAAAUAAAAGUUGUACUUUA